AAGUCGUAACAAGGUUUCCGUAGGUGAACCUGCGGAAGGAUCAUUAACGAGUUUUGAAAUGGGUUGUAGCUGGCCUUCACAGGCAUGUGCACACCCUGCUCAUCCACUCACUAUACCCCUGUGCACUUAUUGUAGGCUUGGUGGGAUAAUUGACUGCUUGCAGUCAGUUUGAAAGCCUUGCUUAUGUUUUACAUACAAACGCUUCAGUUUAAGAAUGUUAUUAUUAUUGUGUAUUAACACAUGAAAUACAACUUUCAGCAACGGAUCUCUUGGCUCUC
RNAcentral lists this unclassified non-coding RNA (278 nucleotides) under Phlebia sp. RNAcentral's name for it is "partial internal transcribed spacer region". The stretch from base 1 to 46 matches the Rfam family "Eukaryotic small subunit ribosomal RNA", at positions 1786 to 1831 of the family's 1831-position model. The record is from RNAcentral. Lineage: Eukaryota; Fungi; Basidiomycota; Agaricomycetes; Polyporales; Meruliaceae.